RNAcentral lists this ribosomal RNA (424 nucleotides) under uncultured bacterium. Its description in RNAcentral is "partial 16S ribosomal RNA". It matches the Rfam family "Bacterial small subunit ribosomal RNA", at positions 360 to 776 of the family's 1533-position model. The record is from RNAcentral.
AAUAUUGCACAAUGGGCGAAAGCCUGAUGGAGCAACGCCGCGUGAGUGAAGAAGGUUUUCGGAUCGUAAAACUCUGUUGUAAGGGAAGAACAAGUACAGUAGUAACUGGCUGUACCUUGACGGUACCUUAUUAGAAAGCAACGGCUAACUACGUACCAGCAGCCGCGGUAAAACGUAGGUGGCAAGCGUUGGCCGGAAUUAUUGGGCGUAAAGCGGGAGCAUGCGGUGCUUUAAGUCUGAUGUGGAAGCCCACGGCUCAACCGUUGAGGGUCAUUGGAAACUGGGGGAAUUGAGUGCAGAAGAGGAAAGUGGAAUUCCAAGUGUAGCGGUGAAAUGCGUAGAGAUUUGGAGGAACACCAGUGGCGAAGGCGACUUUCUGGUCUGUAACUGACGCUGAGGCGCGAAAGCGUGGGGAGCAAACAGG